This 1592-nucleotide long non-coding RNA is filed under the name Mus musculus (house mouse). RNAcentral describes it as "ilncRNA-EC13". Lineage: Eukaryota; Metazoa; Chordata; Mammalia; Rodentia; Muridae. The record is from RNAcentral.
AUUCAGCUCUAUUUCAGUGCUUCUCUCCUCCCAGAGGUACAAGGAGUGAUCCUAGAGCCACAGCACAGAUACAGCCAAGACCACGGAGAGCUUUUGACGUCAGGGCUCCACUUUCUCCACUGAACCCUUGGAGACAGAAUACCCAGCUUCUGGAGAGAGUGGGAAAGGAUAAUAAACAAAUUUCUUUCAACUGGUAAACAUCCUACCUCUUCAGCAAAGGAAGUCCUCUAGCAGAGCCCUCAUGGACGCUAUCUGUCCCCGUGGCAGCACCUGCAGUGUGGAAGGCAGUGGUGAACGGACCCAUGCACUAUGUCUAGAAGACACAAGGAUGAGCCAGCCCACCUGAUCUUGUUACUUACAAACUUCCAAGAUAUACUCGGGUUUAUUUUUGGUCUGAAAAUGGAAAGGCUCAAAUAAUGAAGUAAUCUUUUCAUAUUGGAGUUUUACAUGGCCAUGAAAAUAUUUCUUAUUCUGAAGACUGAAAUAGAGGAAGCUUGAGAGUCUUGUCUUUCAAAGCAGCUCUCUGUAUCUGCUUGAAUUAAAAGAUUUGUGGGACUGAAAAUCAUUUAAUCACAUAGGCAACCCCCACUUUAAAAAGCAGCCUUUAAAAAAAAAAAAAAACACCACAGAGAGCUUGAGGAACCCGUCCACCAUCUCUCUUGUCACCCAUUGCUAAAGCGAAUAAAGGGUGAACCCAAGUCUUGAAGUGUUAGCAGGUACUCUUGGCUCAUCUCUGGCUGGUCCUGAGCCUUAUUCUUACUGUAGUUUAUGAAAUGAUGAAAGCCAUGGAGCUGUCUUGGAGGCCCAGUGGAGCCCAGUCUGUGUUCCUAAGCAGUAAACGCCUGUUAGGGUUGAAGGGCUGACUCUGCACUGUGGGCAUUGCGCCUCUUGAGAGAUGCAGAGCAGAGGUAGUGAACAGUCAGAGUGAACCGUAGGUGGGAAUAGGUUUCAAGGAAUUGUCCAAUUUACCAAUUGGCCGCAGCUGUCAAAAUGGUGAUUCUUUCUUUGGUUAUCAGGUAACUGACCAGUCAAAGCUACUAAGGAAAACGGUGACAGUCACCGUUAUUCCAACACCUUUUAAGUUGGAAUAAGUCUUAAGAAGAGAAAUCAUAGAAUUAAUAAUAGGAGAACUAAAAUGUUAGCCUCUCAACAUGGAAGACUAUCAGCUAAGAGAUAACCUGCUUUUAGUCUUUCUUGGCUAUAAAAACUAUUUCUUAAUUAUAACUCAUUUUUCAAAAGUUUUAAUGCUUUUAAAAGUAAAUAUUAAAGAUAAUUUUGAACUGAAAAAUUCCCCACAGAACUCUGAAUUCCUGUAGAAUGAUGACAGCUUUGUUGUCCUGCCUUAGUAAGAUAGCUUACAAGUGGAUCUAAACAAAAGUUGGAUUUGGAACUGAAACUGGGAUUUACUAGACAUCCUGUUGUAUUCUUUAAACCACAGUAGGAGCCAUUUUAUGCCUGAGCCCACUAGCCUUUUGUCUCAGCACUGAAGACAGAAAGUGAUUUACCCUUGGAAUCUCAAGCUUUAAUGAAUUUCAGCUCUGUUCCUUAAAGUAUGCAAACGAGAUGUUAGUGCAUUCCUAUUACCUCAUACG